UUAUGUUUGAAAUAUAUUUCGGAAAAAAUCGUCCAAAGUUGCGGUGAUUCUCAUGAAAGUAAAUAAAAACUUUGGACAAAUCGUCCAAAGUUACGGUCAGCUUCUUCUUAUGAAAAUAAAUUAAAAACUUUGGACAAAGUCGUCCAAAGUUACGGUCAGCUACUUCUCAUGAAAACAAGUUGAAAACUUUGGACAGAGUCGUCCAAAGUUACGGUCAGCUACUUCUCAUAAAAACAA
Molecule: long non-coding RNA, 237 nt
Organism: Bradysia coprophila
Lineage: Eukaryota; Metazoa; Arthropoda; Insecta; Diptera; Sciaridae
Source: RefSeq, a predicted model, not a curated record